AAUGAACAAUUAAUUGCUAUUAAUUCACAUGCUUAUAACUAUUUGUUCACAUGUGUGUACUAUUGAUUCACAUGCAUGUACUAUUAGGGGAGGUGGUGCAAGAUUGAUAAUACUUGCAUGACUAAAUUAAAAAUGGAGGUAUAGAUGAAGGUACUAUACUGUAAUUAUUUUUUUCACAUGUAUAGAACUAUUGAGUCACAUGAUUGUACUAUUGAUUCACAUGAUAUACUAUUAGGGGAGGUGGUGCAAGUUUGAUAAUACUUGCAGGACUAAAUUAAAAAUGAAGGAAAAGAUGAAGGUAUUAUACUGUAAUAUUUCGAGCCCCAAAACGUGUAAUUAUCGAAACUAUGUUUUCCUAUAAAUAGAAGCUCAUUCUUCUUUCAUUCUCACCAAUUCACUAAGACUCACGAGCAAUUAUUGAAAGAGAAGCUAUAGAGAAACUUUAGAGAGAAAGUAGAAGAGAAGUCUGCUACCUCACUAUUCCAGUAUCCAAUCUUCUUCUGAGGUAAAGGAUAUUAUUUUGUUCAGUAUUCAUAGGAAUAAUAUUUUCUUCCAUACUCUGUAGUAUGUGAGUAAUAUUAUUUCGUCUCGUAUUCCUGAUUAUACCAUUAUUUUUUUAAAGUAUUGCUUUUAUACUCCGUGAAAUUAGUAGAAUAUCCUUGAAAUUUGCGCUUCAUCUAGUAUCGUUUCACAAGGAUAUUUUCUACACAUUCUUGUUAAAUUUUAAGCUUUUCAUGCCGGAGUACUGUCCAUGAGUAAUAUUCAUUUUUACGGUACUGUUCACAAAGUACUAUUCACGGGGUACUAUUCACAAAGUACUAUUCACGGGAUACUAUUCACAAAGUACUAUUUACGGGGUACUAUUCCUGAAGUACUAUUCACGGGGUACUAUUCACUCGGGCGCUAUUCACCUGGGGAAUUAUUCAAGACAAAAAUUGAUUUCUUUGAUGUCCAAAUCAUUUUUGAUACAAUAUUAUUCUUGAAUUUUACUCCACAAAGCAGUAUUAUGUUGACAAUUUGGACAUUAUUGAAUUCUGGAUAAAUUAAGUUAUAAUCUUUAAAAAUUUAUCCUUUGUUUUCUUUUAAUUGAAUUCUUAUAUCAUUGUCAUCAUCCUCAUGCUUAUAUUGUGAUAAAAGUCAUCUGUGGCUUACGUGCAUAGAUGUACUAUUGAUUGGUAUGAUUAUGACCAGAGAUUAUUCGGUAUAAUCAUGACCAUUGAUGAUUACAUGAAUAUCCUUGGCCCGUAGUGUAGGGAUGAUUCGAUGAUGUGGUUUAUUUAUUAAGCUGAGUCUCAACGAUAAAAUUGAUGAUAAACUUUUUAAAUCAUAGAAGAUAGUAAAUAUCAUGCUCUACUUGACUCUUCUAAUGGAUUGCUUGUUCCGCUGCAGUUAAACUUGAUGUUUAUUAUAUUUUAUCAGUUUAACACUGUUGAAGGCUAACGAUAAUUUAUGCUGCAUUAUCUUAGUCAUAAUAUUUCUUACUGGGCUAGUUGAGCUCACCCUUUUGCUUUCAUUGUUCUCUUCAG
RNAcentral lists this long non-coding RNA (1526 nucleotides) under Panax ginseng (ginseng). RNAcentral describes it as "long non-coding RNA (PGIN_LNC004938)". The record is from RNAcentral. Lineage: Eukaryota; Viridiplantae; Streptophyta; Magnoliopsida; Apiales; Araliaceae.